Molecule: transfer RNA, 67 nt
Filed under: Marmota monax (woodchuck)
Lineage: Eukaryota; Metazoa; Chordata; Mammalia; Rodentia; Sciuridae
Description: tRNA.Ala
Source: RNAcentral
GGUUGUGGCUUAGCGGUAGAAUGCUUACCUAGCACGUUUGAGGCCCUGGGUUCGAUCCUCAGCACCA